This is a long non-coding RNA of Sapajus apella (tufted capuchin), 619 nucleotides long. RefSeq lists it as uncharacterized. Lineage: Eukaryota; Metazoa; Chordata; Mammalia; Primates; Cebidae. The transcript has 3 exons. The record is from RefSeq and is a predicted model, not a curated record.
CCUCGCAGUCUCACUCGCGGGUGAGAUAAUCUGGUGGUUGUGGAGACGGGAUUUGUUGGUGGGUGUUCCUUGAGUGUAUGGAGCAGUCCUUUUGAUGGAGUCUUUAAUUUGGGGCGAAGUUUCUGGAAGCCCAUCCUUUCUACCAUCCCAAUAACUCUAAAGCUCGGGUUUCUGAAGGAUUUAAGAAAAAGCACAAAUUCAACAGAUAUUUAUCAAGUGUCUUCUAUGUGAUAUGGCUGAAAAUAGGAAUUUACAGCAUAGCAACAAAGAAUGAUAAAACAUCUAACUGUACUACGUGCUAAGUGCUGCAAAAGCAUAUGGCAAGCUCUGGAAUCAAGAAGUGAGCAGGCCAGAUGAGGAAACCUCCCCAAGAGGUUAAGUCGUUUGCCCAAAACUAGCAGUGGGAGAGUGGUGCAGCCAACAUUUGAACCUAGGUAGCCCGAAUACAGCAUCUACGCUCAAAUCUAUGGCAUCACAGAUGACCUGGUAGCUACCGUUCCCUGAAGGAGUUGAAGGAGCUUUUAUACAAGAGGUGGUACCUGAACUGGACCUUAGAGAGUCAGUAAAAUUCUACCAGAUAAAAAACAUAUACAAGUGUUAGUCCAGGCUGAGGUUUGUG